UAACGAGUGUUUAUGGCACUCUAACAAUCCAUACCCACCUUGUGUGCAGCGUUAAGAGUCUAUUUGUCUCUCUCUCAGAGGGCACGAGACUUCUUUCAAUUAAUCUACCUUGAACAAGUUUGUCUGAAGCAUUGUAUCAUGAAUAAACAUAAUUCAAAAUA
This 161-nucleotide unclassified non-coding RNA is filed under the name uncultured Mortierella. Its description in RNAcentral is "sequence contains ITS1". The record is from RNAcentral. Lineage: Eukaryota; Fungi; Mortierellomycota; Mortierellomycetes; Mortierellales; Mortierellaceae.